RNAcentral lists this ribosomal RNA (492 nucleotides) under uncultured bacterium. RNAcentral describes it as "partial 16S ribosomal RNA". It matches the Rfam family "Bacterial small subunit ribosomal RNA", at positions 29 to 507 of the family's 1533-position model. The record is from RNAcentral.
AGUGAACGCUGGCGGUAGGCCUAACACAUGCAAGUCGAACGGCAGCACAGUAAGAGCUUGCUCUUACGGGUGGCGAGUGGCGGACGGGUGAGGAAUACAUCGGAAUUUACUUUUUCGUGGGGGAUAACGUAGGGAAACUUACGCUAAUACCGCAUACGACCUACGGGUGAAAGCAGGGGAUCUUCGGACCUUGCGCGAUUGAAUGAGCCGAUGUCGGAUUAGCUAGUUGGCGGGGUAAAGGCCCACCAAGGCGACGAUCCGUAGCUGGUCUGAGAGGAUGAUCCGCCACACUGGAACUGAGACACGGUCCCGACUCCUACGGGAGGCAGCAGUGGGGAAUAUUGGACCAUGGGCGCAAGCCUGAUCCAGCCAUACCGCGUGGGUGAAGAAGGCCUUCGGGUUGUAAAGCCCUUUUGUUGGGAAAGAAAAGCAGCAGGUUAAUACCCCGCUGUUCUGACGGUACCCAAAGAAUAAGCACCGGCUAACUUCGUG